UGGACUCAAUAUAGAUCGAAUCUCAAAGUAUCAAAUCUUAACAAUCUUCACCUCGACUCAACAUUCGGUCUCCUUCUUUUGAGAGCUUCUAGAUCUCCUCGCCCCCAUAUCCUAGGACAAUCGUCCGCUGAUCAUGGAUGGACAAAUAUGGGAGUCAAGCCAGACUGCUCGAUCCCAUCUCCAUUGUAUGCUGUGCUCCUCCUGAUCUGAGACCUACUCGGGAUAUGAUCCUGCAGUAAUAGGAAUCUCACCUUGCGAUAUCACCUCUCAUCCUCCUGAGUCUCGCGUCUCGUGUCCAAUCUACUCUACCUAGAGCUCCACCUCGCUCUGGACUCCUCCUGGCUUUCGAAGCUUCACCUCGUAUUGGACUCUCCAUCAAGUAAUAAUAUCCUUUCGUCUUCUUCUUCUCCUUCAAAAUAAUCCUAUCGCUGCGUAGAACCUUCAGAAUUUCUCCAUCAGCUACCGUUCUAUAGCCUCUCGAAUCCAGUCUGCUCAGUGAGAUAAGAUUCUGUCUGAAAUCGGAUAUAUAGCGGACCUCUUCCAAUCUUCUCACUGUACCAUUAUGUGUCCUCCAACUGACCAUCUCGAUGCCUCUAAUCGCAUAGCUCGAUCCAUCCAGCAGAUAAAUAGUAUCCUCACUAUUCUUCAGAGAGUUAAACUGCUUCUCUCUACAACAUACAUGAUAGAUGCAUGUAGAAUCUAAAAUUUACUACUGAAAAGAAGUAGAUAUCUCGUCAUAUAUCUCCAGGAUAUCUUCCUCUAAAUUGUUACUGGUCGUCGCUGCAGUAGCCCUCAUCCAAUCCCUGAGUUGAGAGCAAUCUCUGGCUAGAUACUUCAAUUCGUCAUAUCGAUAAUAUCUGAUCUUGCUUAAGUCUCUCAUUUUGAACUUGGACCGCCCUUAUCGCGAUCUCCUAUUGCUCUAUCUACCACCUCCUGCUCAUCUAGAAACCACAAAAGCUGAGCUGCCACCACCUGAGCUCGAAGCUGGAUUCUCCCUUCUAAGAACCUCAUUCUGGAGAAUCAUCAUGGUGAUUUCAUCCAUCUUGAUAGUGCUCUUUUUCACUAGAAGAGUAGUUAUCAAGGACUCAUACGAAGGAGAGAGCGAUGC
RNAcentral lists this long non-coding RNA (1108 nucleotides) under Elaeis guineensis (African oil palm). RNAcentral's name for it is "long non-coding RNA (EGUI_LNC002708)". Lineage: Eukaryota; Viridiplantae; Streptophyta; Magnoliopsida; Arecales; Arecaceae. The record is from RNAcentral.